Non-coding RNA from Homo sapiens (human), 772 nucleotides. The record is from RefSeq and is a predicted model, not a curated record. Lineage: Eukaryota; Metazoa; Chordata; Mammalia; Primates; Hominidae.
UGAAACUUCCAUCCAGUGGGUAUUGUCCUACUUUUAAAUUGGUUCAAAAUAGGAUCAUCAAGGUAUCUAGAUAUCCAUGGCAAAGAAUCAGCUCUUUUCUAAUCAAUGAGUUUUGCUGGUGGUUAAGUAUAUAUUUCAAUGGUCCGUGUAAAGGAAACAACAGUAGACAAAGAAAAUUGUAUUUCUCGGCUGACUGUAUUGUCUUUCCUGAGGACCCUCAUCAUAACAACUUUUUCUCUGGUGACAGAUUUCCAAUGAAUCACCCUGAAGUAGUACCUGCAAUGACGUUGCACACACUAUUCUCUGCAAUCAGCUGUGCGAAGACAGCUGUCACUCCUCUUCGUCACUAAAGGGAAUCCCAGUCUGAUGGCAGCAGUCCCAUGGUAAGAUCUGGUCUGCAGAGAAGAACCAUCACAGAACUCUCCAAGAAUAUAUUUAUCAAAGCCAUGUGGAAGAGAGUAUCCUCUGGACCAUCCCAGGAUGAUUCCUGGCCACAGCAAAGAGGAAGCUUGGGUUUGCAUGUCCAGGACCUCCACCCUAAGUAUUCAGGCACUCUUUUUGACAUCAUUGCUGUUGUUACUUAGGUGUAUCUCCUUGGUUGUGUUUCUCCAUUCUGCUAUAAAAACUGAGAAAACACAGAUCUUAACGAUGCUGUGAACUUGAUAAGCAUUUAAUUGAAUCCUCCAAAUAUAAAAUUUUAAGUGGUCAUCUUAAACAUAGCAAGACUUGAAUUUAAAGUAUUAUACCAAAUCAAACAGUGGCCAGAUGGCGA